AAAUUGAAGAGUUUGAUCAUGGCUCAGAUUGAACGCUGGCGGCAGGCCUAACACAUGCAAGUCGAACGGUAACAGGAAGCAGCUUGCUGCUUUGCUGACGAGUGGCGGACGGGUGAGUAAUGUCUGGGAAACUGCCUGAUGGAGGGGGAUAACUACUGGAAACGGUGGCUAAUACCGCAUAACGUCGCAAGACCAAAGAGGGGGACCUUCGGGCCUCUUGCCAUCAGAUGUGCCCAGAUGGGAUUAGCUUGUUGGUGAGGUAACGGCUCACCAAGGCGACGAUCCCUAGCUGGUCUGAGAGGAUGACCAGCCACACUGGAACUGAGACACGGUCCAGACUCCUACGGGAGGCAGCAGUGGGGAAUAUUGCACAAUGGGCGCAAGCCUGAUGCAGCCAUGCCGCGUGUAUGAAGAAGGCCUUCGGGUUGUAAAGUACUUUCAGCGGGGAGGAAGGUGUUGUGGUUAAUAACCGCAGCAAUUGACGUUACCCGC
This 492-nucleotide ribosomal RNA is filed under the name Salmonella enterica. Its description in RNAcentral is "bacterial SSU rRNA". It matches the Rfam family "Bacterial small subunit ribosomal RNA", at positions 1 to 482 of the family's 1533-position model. Lineage: Bacteria; Pseudomonadati; Pseudomonadota; Gammaproteobacteria; Enterobacterales; Enterobacteriaceae. The record is from RNAcentral.